Suricata suricatta (meerkat) is the source of this 584-nucleotide long non-coding RNA. RefSeq lists it as uncharacterized. The record is from RefSeq and is a predicted model, not a curated record. The transcript is spliced from 3 exons. NCBI's taxonomy places the organism in Eukaryota, Metazoa, Chordata, Mammalia, Carnivora, Herpestidae.
GCAAGACCAGCAGAGACACCACCCAGCUAAGCCCCUGGUACCUCGGAGAAUUGUGAGAAAUAAGACGAUGGUGGUUGUUUUCAGCAACUAGGUUUGUAGAUAGUUUGUUGUAUGGAGCAGAUAACCAAAAUAGAUGGCUCCUUUGGGAAAGGGGCACAUAAAUGAAAAUCAAAAGACUGAUCGGUAGCCAGGGGGUGAAGGGGACCCCUGGGGGAGGCAAGCCUUGGCAGAGGGACCAGAAAAGAGCUACCAGAGGCCGGUGUGGCACAACUGCACAGCGAUGAAGAUGGUGGCAGCAGUGGAGGUAUCAUUUAGAGUCCUUUGCCGUACGGGCCCUUCUCCUCUCGAAGUUGCUGGAACUGACUAUAACUGUCCAGCAGCUGCCCCUGUUCUAGGCUGUCAGCCUUGCCUGGCUCAAGGUCAAGGGGCCCAUCCUCGGCUGGAAUACAAGCUCUGCUCUUUAGUCCUGGAAAGCACAUGCAGGAGCAAACUGGGGGAGAGGCAUUCUCAUGUCUCAUGACUGCUUCCUCAUGCUGGUCUCCCCCUUCCCCACUUAAAGAUAAAAAGGGAGAUCGAACAUGAAA